Molecule: ribosomal RNA, 665 nt
Filed under: uncultured eukaryote
Lineage: Eukaryota
Description: SSU rRNA
Rfam family: Eukaryotic small subunit ribosomal RNA
Source: RNAcentral
UUAAAAAGCUCGUAGUUGGAUCUUGGAGUGUGAGUGAAUGGUCGAUCGAAAGAUUGUACUGUUCGGCACACUCUUCUCUUCGGUUGCGUGUGUAAUGCCCUUAACUGAGUGCUGCACUCGACCGGAAUUUUUACCUUGAAAAAAUUAGAGUGUUCAAAGCAGACCUGAUUAUGUCUGAAUAUUCGUGCAUGGAAUAAUAAAAUAAGAACUUGGUUCUAUUUUAUUGGUUUUCGGAACUCGAGUUAAUGAUUAAGAGGGACAGACGGGGGCAUCCGUACUCUGCCGUUAGAGGUGAAAUUCUUGGAUCGGCGGAAGACGCGCAACUGCGAAAGCAUUUGCCAAGAAUGUUUUCUUUAAUCAAGAACGAAAGUCGGAGGUUCGAAGACGAUCAGAUACCGUCCUAGUUUCGACUGUAAACUAUGCCAGCUAACGAUCAGACAGCGUUCUCUACGACUUGUCUGGCAGUUUCCGGGAAACCAAAGCUUUUGGGUUCCGGGGGAAGUAUGGUUGCAAAGCUGAAACUUAAAGGAAUUGACGGAAGGGCACCACCAGGAGUGGAGCCUGCGGCUUAAUUUGACUCAACACGGGGAAACUCACCCGGCCCGGACACAGUGAGGAUUGACAGAUUGAGAGUUCUUUCUUGAUUCUGUGGGAGGUGGUGCAUG